Molecule: non-coding RNA, 2248 nt
Organism: Rattus norvegicus (Norway rat)
Lineage: Eukaryota; Metazoa; Chordata; Mammalia; Rodentia; Muridae
Source: RefSeq, a predicted model, not a curated record
UGUUUCUUUUCAUGUUGUUAUUUUGCUUUAUUUCCUUGAAACUACAUUAUGGAGUGAAAACAAUCUUUAAAUUACUAUAUAUUUUUGAUAAGUUAAGUAUGUGUGCUUUGCCACCCUUCGGUUACUGCCUACACAUACAUCUACUGAUUUUUUCCCCUUAAUGUGCAAUCAUUACUAUAGCUUGGGAAACUGAAAAUGUAAUAUUCCCUGCUAACUGAAGGUGAUACGAAUAAAUCCGGGAAAGCAAGGCUUUACUAUUGUUAUAUCAGCUUACUGUGAGUGGAUACCUGUGGGGUAUAUGUGUAGAUAAAUGGGUGUGUGUGUGUGUGUGUGUGUGUGUGUGUGUGUGUGUGUGUGCAUGUGUGGGGCUUAUUAACGUAUAGUAAGACAUCUCAUCCUGUUUGCAUACAGGUUUCCUUUCCCCUUGCCCACCAAAGCCAUUCAAGCAAGCAUUUAUUCUUUAUUUGUUUUGUUUUGUUUUGUUUUGUUUUGUUUUGUUUUGUUUUGUUUUGUUUUGUUUUGUUUUGUGAGACAGAGUUUCUUUGUAUAGUCCUGGUUUUUCCUGUCACUCACGCUUCAGAAACAGGCUAGCCUCAGAGGUCUGCCUGCCUCUCUCUCAAGGGAUGGAAUUAAAGGCCUAUGCCACCACACCUAGCAACAGAGGAGGUCAAGGAACAGCUGAUCUGGGGGCUAAAGCGGGCACACGAUAAGGCACGAAGACAGAACUACCACUACCACCACCACCACCACCACCACCACCACCACCACCACCACCACCCCUGGCAGUUCCUUUUCCUCAUGGCUGGAUCUCUGACACUUGUGAGAAGUUUCUGCCUUGGAGCGAAGGCCCGACGAAGCGAGCAAUGAAGCUGUGUGUCUCCAUUAGGAAGUCAGAGACGUGGAUGGAAGACCCCCUCUUGGCGCCUUGGCGCGUGGCGUGGCGUCCCGGGUUCUUGGCACCAAAUGUCCCGCGCGACCUCUGGCCUGCAAGAAUACGCGGGAACACACGAAUCCUUCUGUAGCCAAAAUGCUUAUAUUUAUUAAUAAUAGAGAGGGCGGCUGGGCGCCAGCAUGGCGCGGCUUAUAUACACCCUAGCGUGGCGCAUCCACACCUGAUUGGUUGCUUACCCAUGAUCUCAUUAGGCACGCCCCGGAGUGGGCAAAGACCUGGCACGAAGUCACUCUUGCACAUCCUGAAAGGAAGUCGGCUGGCGCGGUGGAGGCCAGCGCCAUCUUGUGGUGGCGAAUGUUAUUGCGGCCCCCUACAGUUAGAUAAGGUCAUAAACUACCACGUGGGUGAUAGAAACUGAACCCAAGUCCUCUGUGAAAGCAACAAGUGUUCUUAACUCCUGAGCCAUCUUCCCAGCCACUUACCAUUCUUAACGAAAAGUUUAGAUUUUCUAUUGACUCACAGUAGAUCAGAGAUCCAGUAAGAAGUAAAAUAAUGUGUGAAAUAAACUACCAGCAGCAUAUACUCCAAGAUGUAGGAUUCUUACAAGUUCAAAAUAUUUAGAAACCAAAGAUCAGCCCAAAAUAGCUCAAAACGGACCUCGAUUAGAAGAAAAGAGACAGAAUUUCACCUACAGGAAGAGACAUAAAACCAAGAUAUGGCCUGUGAUGGUUUGUAUAUGCUUGGCCCAGGGAGUGGCACUAUUAGGAAGUGUAGCCUUGGAGUAGAUGUGUCACUGUAGUCAUGGGCUUCAAUAUCCUUGACCUAACUGCCUAGAAGUGAAUCUUCCACUAGCAGCCUUCAGAUGAAGAUGUAGAACUCUCAGCUCCUCCUGCACCAUGCCUGCCUGGACGCUGCCAUGCGCCUAUCUUGAUGAUAAUGGACUGAACCUCCGAACCUGUAAGAAAGCCCCAAUUAAAUGUUGUCCUUUAUAAGACUUGCCUUGGUCAUGGUAUCUGUUCACAGCAGUAAAACCAUAACACAAUAAUGAAUCAGAUAAUCAAUUUUUUUUUGGUAAGAAAAAGUAGUUUUUACUUGAAAGUAAAUUUAUAACUAUAUGGCUUUAUUCUUAGAGUUUAGGGGGAAAAAAGCAAGUAAGUCCUAUCAUGGUCCAUUAUCCUCUGUGAGUCCUUUGAAGAGCCGCCCAGCAGGGACAUUACACCCUCAGUGGGAAGACCAGAGCACAGCCUGCUAGGUAUUAAAAAAGAAGUAAAUACCAGGAAACUAGGAACAUUUCACUCAGUCUAUAUUCCACCUCUGUGACAUCAAUCAUUGGCCUCAAGAUUUACCCUCUGCCUG